AAGCAUGCAAGUCGAACGGCAAGAGGUAGCAAUACCUCCUAGGAGUGGCGGACUGGUGAGUAACACGUGGGUGACAUACCCUUCAGAUGGGGAUAGCUAUUAGAAAUAGUAGAUAAUACCGAAUACGAGCACAGGGGUUAGAGAUCUGUGAGGAAAGGAGCUAAGGCUCCGCUGAAGGAAUGGCCUGCGGCCCAUUAGCUAGUUGGUGAGGUAAGAGCCCACCAAGGCGAUGAUGGGUAUCCGGCCUUAGAGGGUGAACGGACACAUUGGGACUGAGAUACGGCCCAGACUCCUACGGGAGGCAGCAGCUAAGAAUAUUCCGCAAUGGACGAAAGUCUGACGGAGCGACGCCGCGUGGAUGAAGAAGGCCGGAAGGUUGUAAAAUCCUUUUGAAACUGAAGAAUAAGCGUUGUAGGGAAUGACAGCGUGGUGACAGUAGGUUUUGAAUAAGCAACGGCUAAUUACGUGCCAGCCGCCGC
RNAcentral lists this ribosomal RNA (479 nucleotides) under uncultured bacterium. RNAcentral's name for it is "bacterial SSU rRNA". It matches the Rfam family "Bacterial small subunit ribosomal RNA", at positions 51 to 518 of the family's 1533-position model. The record is from RNAcentral.